CUGAUUGAUUGGAUGUUCUGGUCCUGAGGCUUCAGUGUGUUAGUAGAACAGGUUAGUGAACUCAGGACCAGCUGGAUGAGGGGACUGAGGCUUCAGUGUGUUAGUAGAACAGGUUAGUGAACUCAGCCCCAGGACCAGCUGGAUGAGGGGACUGAGGCUUCAGUGUGUUAGUAGAACAGGUUAGUGAACUCAGCCCCAGGACCAGCUGGAUGAGGGGACUGAGGCUUCAGUGUGUUAGUAGAACAGGUUAGUGAACUCAGGACCAGCUGGAUGAGGGGACUGAGGCUUCAGUGUGUUAGUAGAACAGGUUAGUGAACUCAGCCCCAGGACCAGCUGGAUGAGGGGACUGAGGCUUCAGUGUGUUAGUAGAACAGGUUAGUGAACUCAGCCCCAGGACCAGCUGGAUGAGGGGACUGAGGCUUCAGUGUGGUAGUAGAACAGGUUAGUGAACUCAGGACCAGCUGGAUGAGGGGACUGAGGCUUCAGUGUGUUAGUAGAACAGGUUAGUGAACUCAGCCUCGGGACCAGCUGGAUGAGGGGACUGAGGCUUCAGUGUGUUAGUAGAACAGGUUAGUGAACUCAGCCUCGGGACCAGCUGGAUGAGGGGACUGAGGCUUCAGUGUGUUAGUAGAACAGGUUAGUGAACUCAGGACCAGCUGGAUGAGGGGACUGAGGCUUCAGUGUGUUAGUAGAACAGGUUAGUGAACUCAGGACCAGCUGGAUGAGGGGACUGAGGCUUCAGUGUGUUAGUAGAACAGGUUAGUGAACUCAGGACCAGCUGGAUGAGGGGACUGAGGCUUCAGUGUGUUAGUAGAACAGGUUAGUGAACUCAGGACCAGCUGGAUGAGGGGACUGAGGCUUCAGUGUGUUAGUAGAACAGGUUAGUGAACUCAGGACCAGCUGGAUGAGGGGACUGAGGCUUCAGUGUGUUAGUAGAACAGGUUAGUGAACUCAGGACCAGCUGGAUGAGGGGACUGAGGCUUCAGUGUGU
Molecule: long non-coding RNA, 991 nt
Organism: Oncorhynchus keta (chum salmon)
Lineage: Eukaryota; Metazoa; Chordata; Actinopteri; Salmoniformes; Salmonidae
Exons: 4
Source: RefSeq, a predicted model, not a curated record